Molecule: ribosomal RNA, 253 nt
Filed under: uncultured bacterium
Lineage: Bacteria
Description: partial 16S ribosomal RNA
Rfam family: Bacterial small subunit ribosomal RNA
Source: RNAcentral
UACGGAGGGGGCGAGCGUUAUUCGGAAUUAUUGGGCGUAAAGGGCGCGUAGGCGGCCCGGUAAGUCAAAGGUGAAAUCCCUCGGCUUAACCGAGGAACUGCCCUCCAAACUGUUUGGCUUGAGACCGGGAGAGGUGAGUGGAAUUCCCAGUGUAGCGGUGAAAUGCGUAGAUAUUGGGAGGAACACCAGUGGCGAAGGCGGCUCACUGGACCGGUACUGACGCUGAGGCGCGAAAGCGUGGGGAGCAAACGGG